This 420-nucleotide ribosomal RNA is filed under the name uncultured bacterium. RNAcentral's name for it is "bacterial SSU rRNA". It matches the Rfam family "Bacterial small subunit ribosomal RNA", at positions 358 to 773 of the family's 1533-position model. The record is from RNAcentral.
GGAAUCUUCCGCAAUGGGCGAAAGCCUGACGGAGCGACACCGCGUGCAGGACGAAGGCCCUCGGGUUGUACACUGCUGUCACGCUCUAGGAACCCCAUGCCGUUAACAGCUGCAUGGCUGACUAAAGCGAGAGGAAGUGGCGGCUAACUCUGUGCCAGCAGCCGCGGUAAGACAGAGGCCACGAACGUUGUUCGGAAUCACUGGGCAUAAAGCGCACGUAGGCGGCUAGGUCCGUCCAAUGUGAAAGCCCCCGGCUCAACCGGGGAAUUGCAUCGGAUACAGCCUGGCUUGAGGACGGUUGGGGUGAGUGGAACUCCUGGUGGAGCGGUGAAAUGCGUAGAUAUCAGGAGGAACACCGGUGGCGAAAGCGGCUCACUGGACCGUUACUGACGCUGAGGUGCGAAAGCUAGGGGAGCAAAC